UACGGAGGAUGCGAGCGUUAUCCGGAUUUAUUGGGUUUAAAGGGUGCGUAGGCGGGACCUUAAGUCAGCGGUAAAAUUGCGGUGCUCAACGCCGUCGAGCCGUUGAAACUGGCAGACUUGAGUUGGCGAGAAGUACGCGGAAUGCGCGGUGUAGCGGUGAAAUGCAUAGAUAUCGCGCAGAACUCCGAUUGCGAAGGCAGCCUGCCGGCCCCACACUGACGUUGAGGCACGAAAGCGUGGGGAGCAAACAGG
Molecule: ribosomal RNA, 252 nt
Filed under: uncultured Bacteroidales bacterium
Lineage: Bacteria; Pseudomonadati; Bacteroidota; Bacteroidia; Bacteroidales
Description: partial 16S ribosomal RNA
Rfam family: Bacterial small subunit ribosomal RNA
Source: RNAcentral